This 813-nucleotide ribosomal RNA is filed under the name uncultured bacterium. RNAcentral describes it as "bacterial SSU rRNA". It matches the Rfam family "Bacterial small subunit ribosomal RNA", at positions 549 to 1381 of the family's 1533-position model. The record is from RNAcentral.
AAUUAUUGGGCGUAAAGCGUUUGUAGGCGGGCGAGUGUGUUUAAUGUUAAAUCUUAAAGCUCAACUUUGAAAUUGCGUUAAAAACUGCUUGUCUUGAGUAUGGUAGGGGUAAAGGGAAUUCCCAGUGUAGCGGUGAAAUGCGUAGAUAUUGGGAAGAACACUAAACAGCGAAGGCACUUUACUAGGCUAAUACUGACGCUGAGAAACGAAAGGUAAGGUAGCGAAACGGAUUAGAUACCCGUGUAGUCUUACCCGUAAACUAUGGACACUAAACGGUAAAUUUUUAAUUUACUGUUAAAGCUAACGCGUUAAGUGUCCCGCCUGGGGAGUAUGCUUGCAAAAGUGAAACUCAAAGGAAUUGACGGGGGCCCGCACAAGCGGUGGAGCAUGUGGUUUAAUUCGACGGUACGCGAAGAACCUUACCAGGAUUUGACAUGCUAGAUAGUUGCUUGAAAGAGUAACGUGCCGUAAGGAAUCUAGACACAGGUGGUGCAUGGCUGUCGUCAGUUCGUGUUGUGAAAUGUUGGGUUAAGUCCCGCAACGAACGCAACCCUUGUCUUUAGUUAUUUUCUAAAAAGACUGCCGGUUAUAAACCGGAGGAAGGCGGGGAUGACGUCAAGUCAGCAUGCCCCUUACACCCUGGGCUACACACGUGCUACAAUGGGUGAGACAAUGAGAUGCAAGUCUGCGAAGAUUAGCUAAUCUAGAAACUCAUUCUAAGUUCGGAUUGUAGGCUGCAACUCGCCUGCAUGAAGUUGGAAUCGCUAGUAAUCGCUGGUCAGCUAUACAGCGGUGAAUUCGUUCCCUGGGCCU